This 377-nucleotide ribosomal RNA is filed under the name uncultured bacterium. Its description in RNAcentral is "bacterial SSU rRNA". It matches the Rfam family "Bacterial small subunit ribosomal RNA", at positions 524 to 898 of the family's 1533-position model. The record is from RNAcentral.
UACAUAGGGGGCAAGCGUUGUCCGGAAUGACUGGGCGUAAAGGGUGUGUAGGCGGUUUCGCAAGUUGGAAGUGUAAUACCUAGAGCUUAACUCAGGUGCUGCUUCCAAAACUGCGGGACUUGAGUGUCGGAGAGGAAAAUGGAAUUCCUAGUGUAGCGGUGGAAUGCGUAGAUAUUAGGAGGAACACCAGAGGCGAAAGCGAUUUUCUGGACGACAACUGACGCUGAGGCACGAAAGCGUGGGGAGCAAACAGGAUUAGAUACCCUGGUAGUCCACGCUGUAAACGAUGGAUACUAGGUGUAGGGGGUAUCGACUCCCCCUGUACCGUAGCUAACGCAAUAAGUAUCCCGCCUGGGGAGUACGGCCGCAAGGUUGAA